GAUGAACGCUGGCGGCGUGCUUAACACAUGCAAGUCGAGCGAAGCGAUUUCAAGGAAGUUUUCGGACGGAAUUGAAAUUGACUGAGCGGCGGACGGGUGAGUAACGCGUGGGUAACCUGCCUCAUACAGGGGGAUAACAGUUGGAAACGACUGCUAAUACCGCAUAAGCACACAGUGCCGCAUGGUACGGUGUGAAAAACUCCGGUGGUAUGAGAUGGACCCGCGUCUGAUUAGGUAGUUGGUGAGGUAACGGCCCACCAAGCCGACGAUCAGUAGCCGACCUGAGAGGGUGACCGGCCACAUUGGGACUGAGACACGGCCCAAACUCCUACGGGAGGCAGCAGUGGGGAAUAUUGGACAAUGGGGGAAACCCUGAUCCAGCGACGCCGCGUGAGUGAAGAAGGUUUUCGGAUCGUAAGGCUCUGUCGUAAGGGAAGAACACGUACAGGAGUAACUGCCUGUACCUUGACGGUACCUUACCAGAAAGCCACGGCUAACUACGUGCCAGCAGCCGCGGUAAUACGUAGGUGGCAAGCGUUGUCCGGAAUUAUUGGGCGUAAAGCGCGCGCAGGCGGUCCUUUAAGUCUGAUGUGAAAGCCCACGGCUCAACCGUGGAGGGUCAUUGGAAACUGGAGGACUUGAGUACAGAAGAGGAAAGCGGAAUUCCACGUGUAGCGGUGAAAUGCGUAGAGAUGUGGAGGAACACCAGUGGCGAAGGCGGCUUUCUGGUCUGUAACUGACGCUGAGGCGCGAAAGCGUGGGGAGCAAACAGGAUUAGAUACCCUGGUAGUCCACGCCGUAAACGAUGAGUGCUAAGUGUUAGGGGGUUUCCGCCCCUUAGUGCUGCAGCUAACGCAUUAAGCACUCCGCCUGGGGAGUACGGCCGCAAGGCUG
RNAcentral lists this ribosomal RNA (894 nucleotides) under uncultured Sporosarcina sp. RNAcentral's name for it is "bacterial SSU rRNA". It matches the Rfam family "Bacterial small subunit ribosomal RNA", at positions 28 to 896 of the family's 1533-position model. Lineage: Bacteria; Bacillati; Bacillota; Bacilli; Caryophanales; Caryophanaceae. The record is from RNAcentral.